Long non-coding RNA from Tyto alba (common barn owl), 973 nucleotides. RefSeq lists it as uncharacterized. The record is from RefSeq and is a predicted model, not a curated record. The transcript has 4 exons. NCBI's taxonomy places the organism in Eukaryota, Metazoa, Chordata, Aves, Strigiformes, Tytonidae.
GAUGGGACACAGUGGCUAUCUAGCCACUCAACACUGCUGAGAACAGGUGUGAGUUCUCAAGCUCACGACCUGUACCCAGAAACACAGAUACCUAAGAAGAGAUUCAUAAACAGCCAUCAUGCCAAGCAGUGAACCACCUGAGCUUACACAGAAAAUCAUGCCAAAUAUGUCCUGAAUCCUGCCCUUGCCCUGGAAUUGGGUCAUCAGGUAUCUGAAAGACUUUGGAAGUGGAAGCACCAAGCAUGACUCCACAGACCAACGGUCAGGAUGCUCAUCUGGAAAAUAUGAGCAUGAAUCACCUGAGCCUAAAAGGAAAACAGGAUUUCCACAUCUGAGGUCCUGUAACAUUUGUUAACCUCAUGCUAACCAACUGUCUGGAACAAGAACACAGCAAGACUGUCAAAGCUUCUGGAUUUGAUGUUCUGAUCCUAUCAGAGUGCAGUUUUUCUUCUCCCUCGUCUUCAAAGAGUGCUGUUUUCUGUCUUCUCUUUGAGACUCCCUAGUGGCCUACAGAAAGAGAUCAAGGGCAAGGAGAUCACCUGCUUAAAGGUAUAUGCUGUCAUCCAGAUACCAAAUAAUGUCUGAUACUAAAGAAACAAACUUCAUCAGUGCAAUGAGAUGCAGCUGUACUUUAGGCAACAAGAAUCAGGGAAACUGAACAGGGUGCUCUGCAAAUCAACACUGCAUCAGGAAGCAGUAACGUUCUCCAUUAUUGGGAAACCUUAUUUUCCCUGCCCUUGGGAUUCAAGAAGAAAAAGCCAAGGGAUCUAGAGUUCUGACCACAGAAGUAUGCAUCACCUAUGGACGUCAGCAAGGUUUCUAUGAAGCCAAGUGCUGAAUUCAGCCAUUUCUCUGCACACAGAAGCUACCCACUCCACAAUUACUCCACUAACGGAUUAAAAAAAAAAAAAAAAAUGCAAAUAACCCACUGAUGAUUUUGCGGUUUUUUUUAAACACAAAUUCCAAAAGCAUU